UAUGUGAUCGUCUCUCGCAUAUCAAUAAGCGGAGGAAAAGAAACUAACAAGGAUUCCCCUAGUAACGGCGAGUGAAGCGGGAAGAGCUCAAAUUUGAAAUCUUAAAGGGUUUCCCUUUACGAAUUGUAGUUUAAAGAAGUGUUUUCUGUUGAGGUUUUGGUAAAAGUUCUUUGGAAUAGGACAUCAUAGAGGGUGAGAAUCCCGUAUUUGACCUUUACUUUCAACUUUGUGAUACACUUUCAAAGAGUCGGAUUGUUUGGGAAUGCAGUCCAAAAUGGGUGGUAAAUUUCAUCUAAAGCUAAAUAUUGGCGAGAGACCGAUAGCGAACAAGUACCGUGAGGGAAAGAUGAAAAGAACUUUGAAAAGAGAGUUAAACAGUACGUGAAAUUGUCAAAAGGGAAGCGUUUGACACCAGUGUUGUUUUUCUGAAAAUCAAUUAAAGAACUGUUUAUGCUAAGUUGUUUAGACUUUAUCAGCUAACUGUUUAGUCUUGAGCUUUUCUUUAAUGCACUUUUCAGUUAACAAGUCAACAUCAAUUUCUUUUGCUGUAAAAAAGCUUGAGGAAGGUGGCUUGAGAUUCGUCUUAAGUGUUUAUAGCCUCUUGCCUAUGCAGUCGGAGAGAUUGAGGUCUGCAGCGUAGAUCCUUCGGGGCUAAAUGCAUUUGUGCUAAGUUAUAGCAUUUUAUAGACAACUUGUUGACUAUGAUUUGUCUUGUAGCUUACUCGCUUAUGUUAUUUUACCUACGCUUAGGAUGUUGAUCUACAGAGCGAGAGU
RNAcentral lists this ribosomal RNA (774 nucleotides) under uncultured Neocallimastigales. RNAcentral describes it as "partial large subunit ribosomal RNA". It matches the Rfam family "Eukaryotic large subunit ribosomal RNA", at positions 24 to 635 of the family's 3401-position model. The record is from RNAcentral. Lineage: Eukaryota; Fungi; Neocallimastigomycota; Neocallimastigomycetes; Neocallimastigales.